This 73-nucleotide transfer RNA is filed under the name Stegodyphus mimosarum. It matches the Rfam family "tRNA". Rfam says of the family: Transfer RNA (tRNA) molecules are approximately 80 nucleotides in length. Their secondary structure includes four short double-helical elements and three loops (D, anti-codon, and T loops). The record is from Rfam by way of RNAcentral. Lineage: Eukaryota; Metazoa; Arthropoda; Arachnida; Araneae; Eresidae.
GCCUUCGUGGUGUAGUGGUCAGCACGCUCGACGUGGAACCGAGAGGUCCGCGGUUCGAUUCUCGGCGAAGGCU